Molecule: ribosomal RNA, 240 nt
Filed under: uncultured bacterium
Lineage: Bacteria
Description: partial 16S ribosomal RNA
Source: RNAcentral
ACAGAUGACUCCCGUCUUGUCACUCAUCGCCCGCCGCACAUCUUCCGUGCGGACCUCGCCUUCAACCGCCUCUACGAACCUGACGCGCACUCCGCGAUGAAGCCAUGUCAUAGUGGAAACAGGAAACUCCAGGUCUGAGGAGAUAACUUCACCACGCUUAUCAAGCGCGUCGACGAUGAGGUUCAUGCCCUGCGACGUAUUGGUGGUGAACGCAAUCUCGUCCGCUUCGGCGUUGAUAAA